This is a long non-coding RNA of Cheilinus undulatus (humphead wrasse), 361 nucleotides long. RefSeq lists it as uncharacterized. The record is from RefSeq and is a predicted model, not a curated record. The transcript is spliced from 3 exons. Lineage: Eukaryota; Metazoa; Chordata; Actinopteri; Labriformes; Labridae.
UUCAUCUCUGGGCAGAAUCCGCACGAAGCUCUUAACGGUGACCGUUAGGAGUUAAGUCUCAUCAGAAAGUUGUUGGAGUGUCUUUUUGUCCCUUCCUAUGAGUUCCAGAGAUCACUGUUUUGUUCCACAGAACCCGUGUGUCUACUCACCAGCAGAUCUACCAGGGUUGUAACUUCCACACAAAAACACCUGUGACCCCCCAGCUGCUGAUCAGAUGGUACAGCGCUCUCUGCUGGUCACUGUAAGAAUUACACCUGUACCAGUGUCAGACCCAGGAUGCUUUGCCGUCUUUGUCAAUGAGCCAUGUUUGUUUUUGUCAAUCCAGACCAAACUACUUGAGGAAUGUAGUUAGGGUUAAGGC